RNAcentral lists this ribosomal RNA (536 nucleotides) under Kocuria dechangensis. Its description in RNAcentral is "bacterial SSU rRNA". It matches the Rfam family "Bacterial small subunit ribosomal RNA", at positions 331 to 876 of the family's 1533-position model. Lineage: Bacteria; Bacillati; Actinomycetota; Actinomycetes; Micrococcales; Micrococcaceae. The record is from RNAcentral.
UGGGGGCCCUACGGGAGGCAGCAGUGGGGAAUAUUGCACAAUGGGCGAAAGCCUGAUGCAGCGACGCCGCGUGAGGGAUGACGGCCUUCGGGUUGUAAACCUCUUUCAGUAGGGAAGAAGCGCAAGUGACGGUACCUGCAGAAGAAGCGCCGGCUAACUACGUGCCAGCAGCCGCGGUAAUACGUAGGGCGCAAGCGUUGUCCGGAAUUAUUGGGCGUAAAGAGCUCGUAGGCGGUUUGUCGCGUCCGCUGUGAAAGCCCGGGGCUCAACCCCGGGUCGGCAGUGGGUACGGGCAGACUAGAGUGCAGUAGGGGAGACUGGAAUUCCUGGUGUAGCGGUGAAAUGCGCAGAUAUCAGGAGGAACACCGAUGGCGAAGGCAGGUCUCUGGGCUGUUACUGACGCUGAGGAGCGAAAGCAUGGGGAGCGAACAGGAUUAGAUACCCUGGUAGUCCAUGCCGUAAACGUUGGGCACUAGGUGUGGGGGACAUUCCACGUCCUCCGCGCCGUAGCUAACGCAUUAAGUGCCCCGCGCUGC